Molecule: ribosomal RNA, 497 nt
Filed under: uncultured bacterium
Lineage: Bacteria
Description: partial 16S ribosomal RNA
Rfam family: Bacterial small subunit ribosomal RNA
Source: RNAcentral
GAUGAACGCUGGCGGCGUGCCUAAUACAUGCAAGUCGAGCGAACAGACGAGGAGCUUGCUCCUCUGACGUUAGCGGCGGACGGGUGAGUAACACGUGGAUAACCUACCUAUAAGACUGGGAUAACUUCGGGAAACCGGAGCUAAUACCGGAUAAUAUAUUGAACCGCAUGGUUCAAUAGUGAAAGACGGUUUUGCUGUCACUUAUAGAUGGAUCCGCGCCGCAUUAGCUAGUUGGUAAGGUAACGGCUUGCCAAGGCAACGAUGCGUAGCCGACCUGAGAGGGUGAUCGGCCACACCGGAACUGAGACACGGUCCAGACUCCUACGGGAGGCAGCAGUAGGGAAUCUUCCGCAAUGGGCGAAAGCUUGACGGAGCAACGCCGCGUGAGUGAUGAAGGUCUUCGGAUCGUAAAACUCUGUUAUUAGGGAAGAACAAAUGUGUAAGUAACUAUGCACGUCUUGACGGUACCUAAUCAGAAAGCCACGGCUAACUACGUG